AUUAGUGGCAAACGGGUGCGUAACGCGUAAGCAACCUGCCUCAAACUGGGGGAUAGCCCGGCGAAAGCUGGGGUAAACCCGCACGGUCCAGUUGAAUCACCUGGUUUAACUGGUAAACAUUUAUGGGUUUGAGAGGGGCUUGCGUCUGAUUAGUUAGUUGGCAGGGUAACGGCCUACCAAGACGAUGAUCAGUAGGGGUUCUGAGAGGAUUGGCUCCCACAUGGGUACUGAGAUACGGACCCA
This 243-nucleotide ribosomal RNA is filed under the name uncultured bacterium. RNAcentral describes it as "partial 16S ribosomal RNA". It matches the Rfam family "Bacterial small subunit ribosomal RNA", at positions 91 to 334 of the family's 1533-position model. The record is from RNAcentral.